ACAUGCAAGUCGUGCGAGAAAGUAUCUUCGGAUAUGAGUAGAGCGGCGGACGGGUGAGUAACGCGUAGGAAUCUACCUAGUAGAAGGGGAUAGCCCGGGGAAACUCGGAUUAAUACCGUAUACCUCCUUUGGGAGAAAGAAGGCCUCUCUUUGAAGCUUUCGCUACUAGAUGAGCCUGCGUAAGAUUAGCUUGUUGGUGAGGUAAAGGCUCACCAAGGCAACGAUCUUUAGCGGGUCUGAGAGGACGAUCCGCCACAUUGGGACUGAGACACGGCCCAGACUCCUACGGGAGGCAGCAGUGGGGAAUAUUGGACAAUGGGCGCAAGCCUGAUCCAGCCAUACCGCGUGUGUGAAGAAGGCCCUAGGGUUGUAAAGCACUUUAAGUUGGGAAGAAAAGUUAUUGGUUAAUACCCAAUAACCGUGACAUUACCUUCAGAAUAAGGACCGGCUAAUUCCGUGCCAGCAGCCGCGGUAAUACGGAAGGUCCAAGCGUUAAUCGGAAUUACUGGGCGUAAAGCGCGCGUAGGUGGUUUAUUAAGUUGGAUGUGAAAUCCCCGGGCUCAACCUGGGAACUGCAUCCAAAACUGAUUCACUAGAGUACGAUAGAGGGAGGUAGAAUUCACAGUGUAGCGGUGGAAUGCGUAGAUAUUGUGAAGAAUACCAAUGGCGAAGGCAGCCUCCUGGAUCUGUACUGACACUAAGGUGCGAAAGCGUGGGUAGCGAACAGGAUUAGAUACCCUGGUAGUCCACGCCGUAAACGAUGUCAACUAGCUGUUGGGAAACAAUGUUUUUCAGUGGCGCAGCUAACGUAGUAAGUUGACCGCCUGGGGAGUACGGCC
This 839-nucleotide ribosomal RNA is filed under the name uncultured Gammaproteobacteria bacterium. RNAcentral's name for it is "bacterial SSU rRNA". It matches the Rfam family "Bacterial small subunit ribosomal RNA", at positions 53 to 887 of the family's 1533-position model. The record is from RNAcentral. Lineage: Bacteria; Pseudomonadati; Pseudomonadota; Gammaproteobacteria.